CCAAUAGCGUAUACUAAAGUUGUUGCAGUUAAAAAGCUCGUAGUUGAAUUUCGGGAUCAGUACGCUGGUCGUGCCUCCGGUAUGUACUGGUGUCACUGAUUCCUCCCUUCUGAAGAACCAUCAUGCCAUUCACUUGGUGUGGUGGGGAAUCAGGACUGUUACUUUGAAAAAAUUAGAGUGUUUAAAGCAGGCUCGCGCUUGAAUACAUUAGCAUGGAAUAAUGAAAUAGGACGUUUAUCCUAUUUUGUUGGUUUCUAGGAUUGACGUAAUGAUUAAUAGGGAUAGUUGGGGGCAUUAGUAUUCAAUUGUCAGAGGUGAAAUUCUUGGAUUUAUUGAAGACUAACUACUGCGAAAGCAUUUGCCAAGGAUGUUUUCAUUAAUCAAGAACGAAAGUUAGGGGAUCGAAGACGAUCAGAUACCGUCGUAGUCUUAACCAUAAACUAUGCCGACUAGGGAUCGGAUGAUGUUAAUUUUUUAAUGACUCAUUCGGCGCCUUACG
Molecule: ribosomal RNA, 499 nt
Filed under: uncultured Glomeromycotina
Lineage: Eukaryota; Fungi; Glomeromycota
Description: partial small subunit ribosomal RNA
Rfam family: Eukaryotic small subunit ribosomal RNA
Source: RNAcentral